This is a non-coding RNA of Phrynosoma platyrhinos (Desert horned lizard), 70 nucleotides long. NCBI's taxonomy places the organism in Eukaryota, Metazoa, Chordata, Lepidosauria, Squamata, Phrynosomatidae. The record is from the annotation of a GenBank genome assembly.
AUCAGUGUGGCGUAGUGGUUUGAGCCUUGGUCUACAACAGGAGACCAGGGUUCAAAUCCCUACUCUGCUA